UACGGAGGGUGCAAGCGUUAUCCGGAUUCACUGGGUUUAAAGGGUGCGUAGGCGGGUAUAUAAGUCAGUGGUGAAAGCUCCGGGCUUAACUUGGAAACUGCCAUUGAUACUGUAUAUCUUGAAUGUCGUUGAGGUAAGCGGAAUGUUGCAUGCAGCGGUGAAAUGCUUAGAUAUGUUACAGAACACCAAUUGCGAAGGCAGCUUACUAAGCGAUGAUUGACGCUGAGGCACGAAAGCGUGGGGAGCAAACAGG
RNAcentral lists this ribosomal RNA (253 nucleotides) under uncultured bacterium. RNAcentral describes it as "partial 16S ribosomal RNA". It matches the Rfam family "Bacterial small subunit ribosomal RNA", at positions 524 to 776 of the family's 1533-position model. The record is from RNAcentral.